Molecule: ribosomal RNA, 403 nt
Filed under: uncultured bacterium
Lineage: Bacteria
Description: bacterial SSU rRNA
Rfam family: Bacterial small subunit ribosomal RNA
Source: RNAcentral
UCGGGAAUAUUGCACAAUGGAGGAAACUCUGAUGCAGUGACGCCGCGUGCAGGAAGAAGGUUUUCGGAUUGUAAACUGCUUUAGACAGGGAAGAAACAAGACAGUACCUGUAGAAUAAGCUCCGGCUAACUACGUGCCAGCAGCCGCGGUAAUACGUAGGGAGCGAGCGUUAUCCGGAAUUAUUGGGUGCAAAGGGUGCGUAGAUGGGAAUGUAAGUUAGUUGUGAAAUCCCUCGGCUUAACUGAGGAACUGCAACUAAAACUAUAUUUCUUGAGUGCAGGAGAGGUAAGUGGAAUUCGUGGUGUAGCGGUGAAAUGCUUAGAUAUUACACAGAACACCUAUUGCGAAGGCAGCUGACAAAACCAUUAUUGACGCUGAGGCACGAAAGUGUGGGGAUCAAACA